RNAcentral lists this long non-coding RNA (1946 nucleotides) under Salmo salar (Atlantic salmon). RNAcentral describes it as "lncRNA (ENSSSAG00000091431.1)". The record is from RNAcentral. Lineage: Eukaryota; Metazoa; Chordata; Actinopteri; Salmoniformes; Salmonidae.
AGACCUGGGGACAUCAGGUAGAGAGACUCAUUCAGACCUGGGGACAUCAGGUAGAGAGACUCAUUCAGACCUGGGACUAAUUCAGACCUGGGGACAUCAGGUAGAGAGACUCAUUCAGACCUGGGGACAUCAGGUAGAGAGACUCAUUCAGACCUGGGGACAUCAGGUAGAGAGACUCAUUCAGACCUGGGGACAUCAGGUAGGAAGAGAAAGCAGAAAUGUUUUGGCCCUCAGGACCUGAAUAAUACUUUGACAUUGAAACACAACAGCUAUACAUAACUAGGUGAAAGCAGACCUGACGCAACACACACACACACACAAUAAGCACACGCACACACACACACACACACACACACACACACACAAUAAGCACACUGUGGUAAGACUGUUUUGGGUUGCAUUUUGUCUGCAUUUAGCCAAUCUGUAACAAUCAGAAGAAUAAAAUACACAUCCAAACAUCUUGACCUUUCAACAAACAGCAAGAUGGAAAUGAACCUUGUGAAGGAAACAGCAACAUAAAGUGUUUUAAUAGGAGGUAACUGGCAGAAUAAAGGAAACUCCAACAGUGUUUUAAUAGGAGGUCGGGUCGUCCACCAGGUAACUGGCAGAAUAAAGGAAACUCCAGGUCCUCCACCAACCACCAGGUAACUGGCAGAAUAAAGGAAACACCAACAGUGUUUUAAUAGGAGGUCGGGUCGUCCACCAGGUAACUGGCAGAAUAAAGGAAACUCCAGGUCCACCAACCACCAGGUAACUGGCAGAAUAAAGGAAACUCCAACAGUGUUUUAAUAAGAGGUCGGGUCGUCCACCAGGUAACUGGCAGAAUAAAGGAAACUCCAGGUCCUCCACCAACCACCAGGUAACUGGGAGAAUAAAGGAAACUCCAACAGUGUUUUAAUAGGACGUCGGGUCCUCCACCAACCAGAACAGCUUUAAUACACCUUGACAUCGAUUCUACAAGUGUCUGGGAAGUCUAUCGGAGGGAUGAGACGCCAUUCUUCCACGAGGAAAUUCCAUCAUUUGGUGUUUUGUUGAUGGUAUUGAAGCCACCUUGCAGCCAUUUUGGCUCUCCUUAAUGAUGUGUAUAAACCCUGGAUGGCUGACAGGGGGGUGCUGUAUUGAAGCCACCGUGCAGCCAUUUUGGCUCUCCUUAAUGAUGUGUAUAAACCCUGGAUGGCUGACAGGGGGGGGGCUGUAUUGCAGCCAUUUUGGCUCUCCUUAAUGAUGUGUAUAAACCCUGGAUGGCUGACAGGGGGGUGCUGUAUUGAAGCCACCGUGCAGCCAUUUUGGCUCUCCUUAAUGAUGUGUAUAAACCCUGGAUGGCUGACAGGGGGGUGCUGUAUUGAAGCCACCGUGCAGCCAUUUUGGCUCUCCUUAAUGAUGUGUAUAAACCCUGGAUGGCUGACAGGGGGUGCUGUAUUGCAGCCAUUUUGGCUCUCCUUAAUGAUGUGUAUAAACCCUGGAUGGCUGACAGGGGGGUGCUGUAUUGAAGCCAUUUUGGCUCUCCUUAAUGAUGUGUAUAAACCCUGGAUGGCUGACAGGGGGGUGCUCUAUUGCAGCCAUUUUGUCUCUCCUUAAUGAUGUGUAUAAACCCUGGAUGGCUGACAGGGGGGGGGCUGUAUUGAAGCCACCGUGCAGCCAUUUUGGCGCUCCUCCAUUGUAAAUAAUAUGUUGGACGAUAUAGAAAUCCAUUUACUAAAUGUCAUUACAUUAAUUUCUGACAUGUUUAUUCCAUUAAGACACCGUAAUGUAUAAUUUUACAUAUGUGAGCUAAACUAAAAUAUUUUUUUAGCGCCCCCCCCAACCCCUUUAAAAAUACUAAUGUUACUGUCCCCCACUACAAACAACAACAAAUACUUAAAUACAUGUAAUGUUGUUCUUGAAACCUUUAAUUGUAAUGCUGUAAACUUUCCAUUCAAUCCUAUGGAGGACUGUCAAAAUGGCCG